UGUAUUAGAUAAUAUCCAGAUCAAUUUUAUCUGAAUAAAAACGUGUGCCAGAUCAAUACAAAGAUAGAGUAGAGUUCAAGCAAAACACAAACUGUAGAUUCAGAUUUGGUAACCUCAGAAGCUUAGCAGAAGCUUACCUCAAGUCUAUUUUAACUAAACAGUUGUAACUUAUCAUACAAGUGUCAUAUCAAUGUAGGAUUCUUAAUCCCAACAAUCUCCCCCUUGGCACUUGUGUGAUCAAAACACCAGUAAUCAAAACACCUGCAUAAACAAACAAAGUACCAUACCAAAAACACUUGAAAGAAACUCCCCCUUAACAUGUGAACUCCCCUUUAAUGGAACAACCUGCAGUAUACAAUCAACCAAGCAACCAAGCAAUAACUAAACACCAGACAUCAAACCUGCAGAUAUACGUAAGCAAUGCAAGAAACCACAUGUCAAACCAAAAAACAUAAUAUUCCAAACAAAAACAAUCAACAACUGUAAUAACCCGAUUUUUGAAACGGAUUAAAGUGAAAUUUUUAUAAGAACUAAAUUGAAAGUAUGAAGAGUUAAGGGGUAACAUUGUAUUUAUUAGGAAUUAGAGGGUUAAUGUAAGAUUUUAAUAAUUUAGAAGAAAAAAAAAUGCACACUCGGUCAAGACAAAUCAUCCCACCAAGAAUGGGAUUCAUAUUAUAUAUAUAUAUGUAUAUAUUGUGUUUAUAUAAUUAAUUGUUGUGUUUCCAUUUCUUUUGUUAAUAGGGUAAAGACAAAAAAAAAUAUAGAAAAAAAAAACACAUACCCGUGCUCUCUCUUUUCACUCUCCCAGUGCAACACCCAGCUAAGAUGGCAACUUUGUCGUCCGUUCACCAAACAAGAUGCCAUUACCACCAAAAUGAAGCUGGGACCUCCAAGAGCAAAGCCCAACAAAUCUUGACAAGUUUCGUCAAUUGUAGCCAUCAGAAUCAUGCUUGAAAGUUCUUGGCCACCGCGAAGAAAAUCGUCCGAUCUGGACAUUCUGACCAUCGUUGGAAGAAGCUAAGACCAUUGUUCGACUUGUCUCAAUGAGGCGCACCUAACCCAACCUUUGUUCAGCCAAAAUAGUCCCCGGAAUUCCAUGACCCGUGUAGGACCUGAAUGGGUCAAGAUUGACCCGAGUUGACUAAGAUUUGACUAGCUCGAUUUCGCAUCUCUGGCGAUUGAUUCGAACUCUAGACGUGACAGUGAACUCGUAUUCAGCAAUCUCGACAUCCUACAACCGAUUUAGAUGCUCGCUAGAAAAUACUAUGGUAUACGUGUAUACGUACUGUAUGUGUACAGGUGAUCGAGGAGAUUGGACUUGCUGCUGUAGAUGUAUAGUAUUUGUACUCAACUAUCGAGGUGAGACAGGAUCUAGUGCACAGGCUACGGAUCAACAGGAGGACGUGUGACGGAGGUGACCUGGACUUUUGUGUUUAUUUGACACGUGUGUGUGGAUAUAUAAAUGUAUGGCAUGUUUUAGUUGUUUAAGUACAUUGAUGGACUAUGGUUAUGGUUGGAUUGAUAUAUGGUGUUGUUUUGUUGGCCGGGAGUAGUUGCCCGUGACUACUGUGUGUUUGACAAUGGACCUACGGGUCGGUUGAUUUUGAUGGUAUUAGAAGUGUUUUUCUUUGUGUGUGAUCUA
Molecule: long non-coding RNA, 1642 nt
Organism: Tripterygium wilfordii
Lineage: Eukaryota; Viridiplantae; Streptophyta; Magnoliopsida; Celastrales; Celastraceae
Exons: 3
Source: RefSeq, a predicted model, not a curated record